UUUCCGUAGGUGAACCUGCGGAAGGAUCAUUAAUGAGUUGUCAUGGGGUUCGAUGCUGGCAGCCAAUUUUUGGAUGCAUGUGCUUGCCCUAACAAUCAUCUUCCAAACACCUGCGCACAUUUUUGAGGGAGUCUUGAGUUGGUUGCCGCUCUUGGGUGAUUUUCUCACAUUCCCUUAAAUCAUUAUACGCUAUUAACAAUGUUGAACGUGCUCUGUGCCGCAAGGCUAUUAAUAUAAUACAACUUUUAACAACGGAUCUCUUGGUUCUG
This 269-nucleotide unclassified non-coding RNA is filed under the name plant metagenome. RNAcentral describes it as "partial contains small subunit ribosomal RNA, internal transcribed spacer 1, and 5.8S ribosomal RNA". The record is from RNAcentral.